AGUGAACGCUGGCGGUAGGCCUAACACAUGCAAGUCGAACGGCAGCACAGUAAGAGCUUGCUCUUACGGGUGGCGAGUGGCGGACGGGUGAGGAAUACAUCGGAAUCUACUUUUUCGUGGGGGAUAACGUAGGGAAACUUACGCUAAUACCGCAUACGACCUACGGGUGAAAGCAGGGGAUCUUCGGACCUUGCGCGAUUGAAUGAGCCGAUGUCGGAUUAGCUAGUUGGCGGGGUAAAGGCCCACCAAGGCGACGAUCCGUAGCUGGUCUGAGAGGAUGAUCAGCCAAACGGGAACGGAGACACGGUCAAGACUCCUACGGGAGGCAGAAGUGGGGAAUAUGGGACAAUGGGCGCAAGCCUGAUCCAGCCAUACCGCGUGGGUGAAGAAGGCCUGCGGGUUGUAAAGCCCUUUUGUUGGGAAAGAAAAGAAGCAGGUUAAUACCCCGCUGUUCUGACGGUACCAAAAGAAUAAGCACCGGCUAACUUC
This 489-nucleotide ribosomal RNA is filed under the name uncultured bacterium. RNAcentral describes it as "partial 16S ribosomal RNA". It matches the Rfam family "Bacterial small subunit ribosomal RNA", at positions 29 to 504 of the family's 1533-position model. The record is from RNAcentral.